This 468-nucleotide ribosomal RNA is filed under the name uncultured bacterium. RNAcentral's name for it is "partial 16S ribosomal RNA". It matches the Rfam family "Bacterial small subunit ribosomal RNA", at positions 28 to 507 of the family's 1533-position model. The record is from RNAcentral.
GAUGAACGCUGACAGCAUGCUUAACACAUGCAAGUCUACUUGAAUUUGGGUUUUUUAACUUAGAUUUGGGUGGCGGACGGGUGAGUAACGCGUAAAGAACUUGCCUCACAGCUAGGGACAACAUUUGGAAACGAAUGCUAAUACCUGAUAUUAUGAUUAUAAUGCAUCUUAUACUUAUGAAAGCUAUAUGCGCUGUGAUAGAGCUUUGCGUCCCAUUAGCUAGUUGGAGAGGUAACGGCUCACCAAGGCGAUGAUGGGUAGCCGGCCUGAGAGGGUGAACGGCCACAAGGGGAAUGAGACACGGCCCUUACUCCUACGGGAGGCAGCAGUGGGGAAUAUUGGACAAUGGACCAAGAGUCUGAUCCAGCAAUUCUGUGUGCACGAUGACGUUUUUCGGAAUGUAAAGUGAUUUCAGUUGGGAAGAAAAAAAUGACGGUACCAACAGAAGAAGUGACGGCUAAAUACGUG